This 65-nucleotide transfer RNA is filed under the name Pedicinus obtusus. RNAcentral's name for it is "tRNA-Leu". The record is from RNAcentral. Lineage: Eukaryota; Metazoa; Arthropoda; Insecta; Psocodea; Pedicinidae.
ACUAAAUUGGCAGAUAAAGUGCACUGAAUUUAGGAUUCAGAUAUAAAAUUAUAUUUUAUUUAGUA